GACGAACGCUGGCGGCGUGCUUAACACAUGCAAGUCGAACGGAAAGGCCCUGCUUUUGUGGGGUGCUCGAGUGGCGAACGGGUGAGUAACACGUGAGUAACCUGCCCUUGACUUUGGGAUAACUUCAGGAAACUGGGGCUAAUACCGGAUAGGAGCUCCUGCUGCAUGGUGGGGGUUGGAAAGUUUCGGCGGUUGGGGAUGGACUCGCGGCUUAUCAGCUUGUUGGUGGGGUAGUGGCUUACCAAGGCUUUGACGGGUAGCCGGCCUGAGAGGGUGACCGGCCACAUUGGGACUGAGAUACGGCCCAGACUCCUACGGGAGGCAGCAGUGGGGAAUAUUGCACAAUGGGCGGAAGCCUGAUGCAGCAACGCCGCGUGCGGGAUGACGGCCUUCGGGUUGUAAACCGCUUUCGCCUGUGACGAAGCGUGAGGGACGGGAAUGGGGAAAGAAGCACCGGCGAACUACGU
Molecule: ribosomal RNA, 467 nt
Filed under: uncultured bacterium
Lineage: Bacteria
Description: partial 16S ribosomal RNA
Rfam family: Bacterial small subunit ribosomal RNA
Source: RNAcentral